UAAAGGUGACGUGAAUUUGGGCGGUCCACAGAGAGCCAUGCCCAUGGAUCCCUCAAUUUAUGGACAGGGAAUCAUGCAGUCAAAACCUGGAAUAGGAAAUACAGAUUUGAUGAACUGGAGACAGCAUUGAUGGAGAUGGUUAAGCAGGACAAUCGACGCGAAUUAUGUGCUAGGAUCUUAAUGCGAUUUGAGCAAGAUCAAAAGGAAACGGAAGAUGCUUGUAGAUUUGCCGAACAAAAUCCAGCUGCACAGAGAUAUUCGUGUUCAAGUUUCUUUUUUUUUGUUUAUAAAAUUUCCCCUCAAACAUACCUUAUUGAGGCACUUGAAUUCUCGAAUCUUUUAUUUAUGCAUACUUUUAUGUCUGCAAGUAGAAGUAUAGACGUUUUGAUAAUACAGUGGCGUCAUAUGCCUUUUGUGUUAGAAUUUGAAUUGUUCCCCCUAAACAAUUUUCUCUAUGUACAGGUUUGAUUGUGGCAUGUUUAUGUAUUCUAUAUAUCAACUUCUAUAGCAGAGGCUUAAGUCUUUGUUUUGAGCAGGAACACAUGCCUAUGCCCUAUUUUUGUUUAAGGACCGCCAAGGAAAUUCUAAAACUGAAAGCUGAUUGAUCGGAUGUGUAUGCCGGCUUUCAUCAACUACUUUCGAAGGCCUUACUAGGAAUUGAAAUGGUGUGCAAAGAGAUUGCUUCUUCUGAUCUGAUUUUUCGAUAUAAAUACUAGACAUUUUACUGCUGUUAGUAAAAUAGGAUUCUCUUCUUAGGAUAUUAGUUUGUUCACUUGUAUUAGACUCAACAAUGGCUUGCAUUGCAUUGGUGUUGAUUUGACU
Gossypium raimondii (Peruvian cotton) is the source of this 822-nucleotide long non-coding RNA. RefSeq lists it as uncharacterized. The transcript has 4 exons. NCBI's taxonomy places the organism in Eukaryota, Viridiplantae, Streptophyta, Magnoliopsida, Malvales, Malvaceae. The record is from RefSeq and is a predicted model, not a curated record.